Long non-coding RNA from Amblyraja radiata (thorny skate), 64 nucleotides. RefSeq lists it as uncharacterized. The record is from RefSeq and is a predicted model, not a curated record. The transcript is spliced from 3 exons. NCBI's taxonomy places the organism in Eukaryota, Metazoa, Chordata, Chondrichthyes, Rajiformes, Rajidae.
AUCCAGACGUCCUGAGUUCACUCAACUCAGUAGCAGCACCACAGAGGUCUCUCUGCACCUGUUU